This 84-nucleotide transfer RNA is filed under the name Actinoplanes lobatus. RNAcentral's name for it is "tRNA-Ser". The record is from RNAcentral. Lineage: Bacteria; Bacillati; Actinomycetota; Actinomycetes; Micromonosporales; Micromonosporaceae.
CGGGAGCUGGGCGACGUGGUGCGCCCGCGCCUCGACGGCGCGCCGGUGCCGGCCGCCGGGUUCGUCCCGGCGAGCGAGCCCGCC